CCUACGGGAGGCUGCAGUAGGGAAUAUUGCUCAAUGCGGGAAACCCUGAAGCAGCAACGCCGCGUGGAGGAUGAAGGUUUUCGGAUUGUAAACUCCUUUUGUUAGAGAAGAUAAUGACGGUAUCUAACGAAUAAGCACCUGCUAAAUCCGUGCCAGCAGCCGCGGUAAUACGGGGGGUGCAAGCGUUACUCGGAAUCACUGGGCGUAAAGAGCGCGUAGGCGGGAUAGCAAGUCAGAUGUGAAAUCCUAGGGCUUAACCAUAGAACUGCAUGUGAAACUGUUAUUCUAGAGUAUGGGAGAGGUAGGUGGAAUUCUUGGUGUAGGGGUAAAAUCCGUAGAGAUCAAGAGGAAUACUCAUUGCGAAGGCGACCUGCUAGAACAUAACUGACGCUGAUGCGCGAAAGCGUGGGGAGCAAACAGGAUUAGAUACCCGGGUAGUC
RNAcentral lists this ribosomal RNA (440 nucleotides) under uncultured bacterium. RNAcentral's name for it is "partial 16S ribosomal RNA". It matches the Rfam family "Bacterial small subunit ribosomal RNA", at positions 338 to 795 of the family's 1533-position model. The record is from RNAcentral.